RNAcentral lists this transfer RNA (79 nucleotides) under Postia placenta Mad-698-R. It matches the Rfam family "tRNA". From Rfam's summary of the family: Transfer RNA (tRNA) molecules are approximately 80 nucleotides in length. Their secondary structure includes four short double-helical elements and three loops (D, anti-codon, and T loops). The record is from Rfam by way of RNAcentral. Lineage: Eukaryota; Fungi; Basidiomycota; Agaricomycetes; Polyporales; Adustoporiaceae.
UCCGAUAUGGUGUAGUGGCUAACAUUAUCGCCUCUCAAAUGGUGCGUGAUAGCCCGGGGUUCGAUUCCCCGUGUCGGAA